AGGAUGAACGCUGGCGGUCUGCUUAACACAUGCAAGUCGAACGGAGUAGCAAUACUUAGUGGCGGACGGGUGAGUAACGCGUGAGAAUCUACCUUCAGGACGGAGACAACAGUUGGAAACGACUGCUAACCCCCGAUGUACUGAAAAGGCAAAUAUUUAUAGCCUGAAGAAGAGCUCGCGUCCGAUUAGCUAGUUGGAGAGGUAAAAGCUCACCAAGGCGACGAUCGGUAGCUGGUCUGAGAGGACGAUCAGCCACACUGGGACUGAGACACGGCCCAGACUCCUACGGGAGGCAGCAGUGGGGAAUUUUCCGCAAUGGGCGAAAGCCUGACGGAGCAAGACCGCGUGGGGGAAGAAGGCUCUUGGGUUGUAAACCCCUUUUCUCUGGGAAGAACACAAUGACGGUACCAGAGGAAUCAGCAUCGGCUAACUCCGCGCUAGCAGCCGC
Molecule: ribosomal RNA, 448 nt
Filed under: uncultured bacterium
Lineage: Bacteria
Description: SSU rRNA
Rfam family: Bacterial small subunit ribosomal RNA
Source: RNAcentral